RNAcentral lists this transfer RNA (71 nucleotides) under Urocitellus parryii (Arctic ground squirrel). Its description in RNAcentral is "Spermophilus parryii (Arctic ground squirrel) tRNA". It matches the Rfam family "tRNA". From Rfam's summary of the family: Transfer RNA (tRNA) molecules are approximately 80 nucleotides in length. Their secondary structure includes four short double-helical elements and three loops (D, anti-codon, and T loops). Further hydrogen bonds mediate the characteristic L-shaped molecular structure. tRNAs have two regions of fundamental functional importance: the anti-codon, which is responsible for specific mRNA codon recognition, and the 3' end, to which the tRNAs corresponding amino acid is attached (by aminoacyl-tRNA synthetases). tRNAs cope with the degeneracy of the genetic code in two manners: having more than one tRNA (with a specific anti-codon) for a particular amino acid; and 'wobble' base-pairing, i.e. permitting non-standard base-pairing at the 3rd anti-codon position. Lineage: Eukaryota; Metazoa; Chordata; Mammalia; Rodentia; Sciuridae. RNAcentral also lists the same sequence under 2 other names. The record is from Rfam by way of RNAcentral.
GGGGUUGUAGCUCAAUGGUAGAGUGCUCACUUAGCAUGUGUGAAGUCCUGGGUUUGAGCCUCAGAACCACA